GCGCGGUUAGCUCAGCGGAAGAGCACCUGCCUUACACGCAGGGGGUCGCAGGUUCGAAUCCCGCACCGCGCA
This 72-nucleotide transfer RNA is filed under the name Acidobacteriota bacterium. RNAcentral describes it as "tRNA-Val". It matches the Rfam family "tRNA". From Rfam's summary of the family: Transfer RNA (tRNA) molecules are approximately 80 nucleotides in length. Their secondary structure includes four short double-helical elements and three loops (D, anti-codon, and T loops). Further hydrogen bonds mediate the characteristic L-shaped molecular structure. tRNAs have two regions of fundamental functional importance: the anti-codon, which is responsible for specific mRNA codon recognition, and the 3' end, to which the tRNAs corresponding amino acid is attached (by aminoacyl-tRNA synthetases). tRNAs cope with the degeneracy of the genetic code in two manners: having more than one tRNA (with a specific anti-codon) for a particular amino acid; and 'wobble' base-pairing, i.e. permitting non-standard base-pairing at the 3rd anti-codon position. The record is from RNAcentral. Lineage: Bacteria; Pseudomonadati; Acidobacteriota.